Molecule: small nuclear RNA, 115 nt
Filed under: Hypsizygus marmoreus
Lineage: Eukaryota; Fungi; Basidiomycota; Agaricomycetes; Agaricales; Lyophyllaceae
Description: U5 spliceosomal RNA
Rfam family: U5 spliceosomal RNA
About the family: U5 RNA is a component of both types of known spliceosome. The precise function of this molecule is unknown, though it is known that the 5' loop is required for splice site selection and p220 binding, and that both the 3' stem-loop and the Sm site are important for Sm protein binding and cap methylation.
Source: Rfam by way of RNAcentral
AGCAACAGUCGAAGCAUCAAGCAGACAAUCCCCUCGCCUUUUACUAGGGGAUUCCGUGCUGCUUCGACACUCCAAUGUUGCAAAUCAAUCUUUGGAAUCUCAGCUCUUCUGGAGC